Transfer RNA from Felis catus (domestic cat), 73 nucleotides. It matches the Rfam family "tRNA". Rfam says of the family: Transfer RNA (tRNA) molecules are approximately 80 nucleotides in length. Their secondary structure includes four short double-helical elements and three loops (D, anti-codon, and T loops). Lineage: Eukaryota; Metazoa; Chordata; Mammalia; Carnivora; Felidae. The record is from Rfam.
GCCUGGCUGGCUCAGUUGGUAAAGCAUGAAACUCUUGAUCUCAGGGUCAUGAGUUCAAGCGCCAUGUUGGGCA